RNAcentral lists this ribosomal RNA (253 nucleotides) under uncultured bacterium. RNAcentral's name for it is "partial 16S ribosomal RNA". It matches the Rfam family "Bacterial small subunit ribosomal RNA", at positions 524 to 776 of the family's 1533-position model. The record is from RNAcentral.
UACGUAGGGUGCGAGCGUUGUCCGGAUUUAUUGGGCGUAAAGAGCUCGUAGGCGGUUUGUCGCGUCGUUCGUGAAAACUCCACGCUUAACGUGGAGCGUGCGGGCGAUACGGGCAGACUUGAGUUCGGUAGGGGAGACUGGAAUUCCUGGUGUAGCGGUGAAAUGCGCAGAUAUCAGGAGGAACACCGGUGGCGAAGGCGGGUCUCUGGGCCGAUACUGACGCUGAGGAGCGAAAGCGUGGGGAGCGAACAGG